Molecule: unclassified non-coding RNA, 377 nt
Filed under: uncultured Corynebacteriaceae bacterium
Lineage: Bacteria; Bacillati; Actinomycetota; Actinomycetes; Mycobacteriales; Corynebacteriaceae
Description: contains 16S-23S intergenic spacer region
Source: RNAcentral
UCCGAGUUGACCCCGGCAGUCUCUCAUGAGUCCCCAACCAAAUGCUGGCAACAUAAGACAAGGGUUGCGCUCGUUGCGGGACUUAACCCAACAUCUCACGACACGAGCUGACGACAACCAUGCACCACCUGUACACCAGCCACAAAGGGAAAGACUAUCUCUAGCCCGAUCCGGUGUAUGUCAAGCCCAGGUAAGGUUCUUCGCGUUGCAUCGAAUUAAUCCACAUGCUCCGCCGCUUGUGCGGGCCCCCGUCAAUUCCUUUGAGUUUUAGCCUUGCGGCCGUACUCCCCAGGCGGGGCGCUUAAUGCGUUAGCUACGGCACGAAAGUCGUGAAAAGACCCUCACACCUAGCGCCCACCGUUUACGGCAUGGACUAC